This 50-nucleotide non-coding RNA is filed under the name unclassified sequences. The record is from Rfam.
UGACCACCCGGAAGGGUCAAGGCCAUACGGACAGCCGGGUCAACUGCCGA